AGCGGGGUAGAGCAGAAUUAGGAGUGCUCGUCGGGCUCAUAACCCGGAAAGCUAAGAAAUAAAAGCUUGGGCAAAGGUCGGAGGUUCAAAUCCUUCCCCCGCUA
This 104-nucleotide transfer RNA is filed under the name Candidatus Woesearchaeota archaeon. RNAcentral describes it as "tRNA-Met". It matches the Rfam family "tRNA". Rfam says of the family: Transfer RNA (tRNA) molecules are approximately 80 nucleotides in length. Their secondary structure includes four short double-helical elements and three loops (D, anti-codon, and T loops). Lineage: Archaea; Nanobdellati; Candidatus Woesearchaeota. The record is from RNAcentral.